Molecule: non-coding RNA, 351 nt
Rfam family: transfer-messenger RNA
About the family: Bacterial tmRNA, also known as 10Sa RNA or SsrA, is named for its dual tRNA and mRNA-like properties. Its role is to liberate the mRNA from a stalled ribosome.
Source: Rfam
GGGGGCGACCGGUUUCGACGGGGAUAUUGACGCCAUCGUUGCAUGUCGAGAUCUCGGGAACUCGUAAAAUUCCGGGAAAAACGCAACUGCCAACCAAGAACUGGCACUCGCAGCCUAAUUUAGGCUGAGACGUCGUUCCAUCUGAGGCCCGCGGGGGUGGAAUGGCGCGAUGCAGCGGGCUGGUCCCACGCCGGUGCUCAGCGGCGUGGGGCGAGACAAUACUGGGCUAGCGGCGGUUCUAAGCCGGCCGAUAGGCGUGGGUCGCUGCGAAGCUUAAAGAAUCGGCUACACAUGUAGAUGCGAUGUGCCGACGAUCUUCGGACAGGGGUUCAACUCCCCUCGCCUCCACCA